AAACACUGAACUGAACUCUGGAACCCAGUUGCAGAGAGUGAGGAAUGAUGAGCAAUGAGCAUUUCUCCUAGAUUACACUUGGAACUCUGUACAAGGCUCUUGCUGUCUUAUGCUGGGAAAUCUCUCUCUCCUGCUGAUAAGAUUAAAGAGCUGACUCUCAGGAUGCUUAGCCAGCCGGCAAGCCUGCAAUCAAGGUGACACCCUCGGGGACCUUGACUGUUGGGGUUUGGGAAGGAGUGACAGCAGCAGGGAAGGAUUCUUCUAGAGGCUCCAGAAGCAGCUUGAGUAACAGAGAGAAAAGAGGCACAGUGUGGGAGAGAGAAUGUGUUGCAGUGCCUUGUCAGCUGGAGAGAGGCAAACAGCAUGCUCGGGAAUUCCAGUGUUGGUUGCACAGGGGAACAAGGGGAAGAGCUUUGCAAUCACAGGAUGGACUGCCUUUCCAAACUCUCUCACAGAAGGACCGUCUUUCCACCCCAGGUACAUUAUUAUCUCUAUUCUUCUACUUAAGAGUGAUAUCAGAUUGACAUCAUUUGGGGCAAGUCUUUGCUUUUUAGCUGCUCUGAUGGAAAUGAAGAUAUUCUAAGGACUCCUGUGCCCCUCCCUUUGGCUGUCAGACUAUUGACACAAUGGACCCUAAGAAGUUUGAAUUUCCCCAGGAAUCUCCUACUGGGAGAGGGAAAAAGGCCAAAUCUAGUCCCCACCAGAAGGGAUCUCGUUUUAUGGGAUGAGAUUUCACACAGUUCUGACAACUUGUCAGACCACCUUGCUGGAGAGAGAAACCCAGAUGAUGAUGAUGGGUCCACUCAGUGUGGAGGAACUGUAUAGGACUGCUUAGCUACGCAUAAACUUCUUGCCUUCUAUUCACCCCAGAACCCCAAAGAUAGACUGGGGAUGGGGGUGGGGCUUACUGGGCCUCUUUGUUCCUUUCCCCAUUGAAUAAACUUACUUUCUCUGCCUUUCA
Molecule: non-coding RNA, 961 nt
Organism: Cricetulus griseus (Chinese hamster)
Lineage: Eukaryota; Metazoa; Chordata; Mammalia; Rodentia; Cricetidae
Source: RefSeq, a predicted model, not a curated record